UGCUGGGAUUACAGGCAUGAGCCACCAUGCCUGGCCAGAAACUUCUUUAAUCAACAUUGAUUUUCCAGGAAUAGAAGUUGUAUAAUAGAGAAAGCAGCACCUGAGUAGGGCCUUAGAGUCUAGAAGGUGCUUUCAGUUACAGGCUUGGGAGACACCCAUUACUCAUAUGGUCUUCGAUAGGCUGGAAGAGACUUGAGCUUGCAAGUGAAAUAAGCCAGAGAAUUUUGAAGAUAUAAAAAGGCGCAUCUCAAUUCCGUGUGGCGGGCAAAAAAUAAAGGAGCAGAUUGUGACAGACCAUUCCCAUCGGCCAUGCGGGCGAACCCAACGUCCUUUUACAUUGAAGAACCCAACGGGGCCUUUUACAUUGCGGAUGAUGGACCGGCUCGUGACGUCCAUGAAUUUCACGCGCACCUGUGUGCACUGUCCCUGAGAGCCGGUCCUGCCCAGGACCUUGGUGACCCUGGCCAGCUUGAUAGGCUGCACACGGCUGGUGUUCAUGAUGGCGGCGCAGCGACGAUGUGGCG
RNAcentral lists this long non-coding RNA (524 nucleotides) under Homo sapiens (human). RNAcentral's name for it is "HSALNT0303649". The record is from RNAcentral. Lineage: Eukaryota; Metazoa; Chordata; Mammalia; Primates; Hominidae.